This 120-nucleotide small nuclear RNA is filed under the name Dendronephthya gigantea. RNAcentral describes it as "U5 spliceosomal RNA". It matches the Rfam family "U5 spliceosomal RNA". From Rfam's summary of the family: U5 RNA is a component of both types of known spliceosome. The precise function of this molecule is unknown, though it is known that the 5' loop is required for splice site selection and p220 binding, and that both the 3' stem-loop and the Sm site are important for Sm protein binding and cap methylation. Lineage: Eukaryota; Metazoa; Cnidaria; Anthozoa; Malacalcyonacea; Nephtheidae. The record is from RNAcentral.
AGCCUUGGUUCUCCUUCAUUUAUACGAAAAAAACUCUUUCGCCUUUUACUAAAGAUUUCCGUGGAGGAGAAAACACAAUGGGUAAGGGUAUUUUUUGUCGCCGCCGGAUUUUCCUGGCGG